GUGGGGAAUAUUGGACAAUGGGCGAAAGCCUGAUCCAGCCAUGCCGCGUGUGUGAAGAAGGUCUUCGGAUUGUAAAGCACUUUAAGUUGGGAGGAAGGGCAGUAAGUUAAUACCUUGCUGUUUUGACGUUACCGACAGAAUAAGCACCGGCUAACUUCGUGCCAGCAGCCGCGGUAAUACGAAGGGUGCAAGCGUUAAUCGGAAUUACUGGGCGUAAGGCGCGCGUAGGUGGUUUUGUAAGUUGGAGGUGAAAUCCCCGGGCUCAACCUGGGAACUGCCUCCAAAACUGCAUGACUAGAGUACGGUAGAGGGUAGUGGAAUUUCCUGUGUAGCGGUGAAAUGCGUAGAUAUAGGAAGGAACACCAGUGGCGAAGGCGACUACCUGGACUGAUACUGACACUGAGGUGCGAAAGCGUGGGGAGCAAACAGGAUUAGAAACCCUUGUAGUCC
Molecule: ribosomal RNA, 450 nt
Filed under: uncultured bacterium
Lineage: Bacteria
Description: partial 16S ribosomal RNA
Rfam family: Bacterial small subunit ribosomal RNA
Source: RNAcentral